GAGAAUGUAGCUCAGUGGUGGAGUGUGUGCUUAGCAUGCAUGAGGUUCUGGGUUCAAUCCCCAGUGCCUCCA
RNAcentral lists this transfer RNA (72 nucleotides) under Camelus bactrianus (Bactrian camel). It matches the Rfam family "tRNA". Rfam says of the family: Transfer RNA (tRNA) molecules are approximately 80 nucleotides in length. Their secondary structure includes four short double-helical elements and three loops (D, anti-codon, and T loops). The record is from Rfam by way of RNAcentral. RNAcentral also lists the same sequence under 2 other names. Lineage: Eukaryota; Metazoa; Chordata; Mammalia; Artiodactyla; Camelidae.